UACAGAGGGUGCAAGCGUUGUUCGGAAUUAUUGGGCGUAAAGGGCGCGUAGGCGGUGCUGUAAGUCUGUAGUGAAAAUCUCUGGGGCUCAAACUCAGAGUCUGCUAUAGAAAACUGCAGUGCUGGAGUGUGGGGAGAGGUGAGUGGAAAUUUCCCCGGUGUAGCGGUGAAAAUGCGUAGAUAUCGGGGAGGAACACCUGUGGCGAAAAGCGGCUCACUGGACCACAACUGACGCUGAUGCGCGAAAAGCUAGGGGGAGCAAACAGG
Molecule: ribosomal RNA, 266 nt
Filed under: uncultured bacterium
Lineage: Bacteria
Description: partial 16S ribosomal RNA
Rfam family: Bacterial small subunit ribosomal RNA
Source: RNAcentral